Molecule: long non-coding RNA, 3472 nt
Filed under: Homo sapiens (human)
Lineage: Eukaryota; Metazoa; Chordata; Mammalia; Primates; Hominidae
Description: HSALNT0013414
Source: RNAcentral
UUGGAUUAUAAAGACUUUACAAUAAAAAUCAUAGGAAUAAUAAGGAUAAUAGAAUUGACACAGUAGAAAAAACAAAACGAGGAACCAGAUAGUAAAGGAGGUGGCAGAAAAAUCUAUAUAUUGAACAACACAACUUUUGGCCGAGGAGGACUAUAAAACUGAGCCUAAUCUUUGGUCUUAGCAUCCCAUCAGCCUGGGAGGGAAAAUAAUGCCCUGAAUGAGCACCAGGCAUCCCAUUCAGGUCCCAUCAGGGACAAGACUCUUGUUACACAGCUGAAGAGUGCAUCACAGUGUUAUCUUCUUGCCAUGCUGCAGAUCUGAAGAGGGGUCUUAGAAGAGGCAGAAUCACCCACACUCAAGACCAUUUCUCAAAUUCAUCUACGAGAUAAGUCCAUUCUCCUCCUUAGGGGAAAAGGCAGGAGUAUGACCCUAAUGGAAAUCCCUCUGCAUUAAAACUUGAGCAGUGGGGAACCAGUUUUCCUUCUCACAAGGGCAAACCAGGAAAAUAAAUGCCUUAUACUGGAAUAAUAACUUUAGAAGUUCCCUAGGGACUAGUUAUCUCCCAAUUUAAAUAUGUAAAGCAGAGCCUAGAAAUCUAAUAAAGGCAUAGCAAUGUGGAAGAAAGUUGUUGCCCUAUAAGUGGCAUUUACCAAUCUGAGGUAAGAACAGUUACUGAAAGAGUUGAGAGAAAGCACAGAAUCUAGAGAAAGAGGAAACAAAAACUGUCUGUUGUUGCAGCUCCAGCACUCAGUCUCCUGGGGCAAUGGAGAUGCAUUAAGAGCUCAGCUCACUCCCGGCUAAAUUCCUUGCUCAUGAAGUAACUUUCUGAUAAUAAUUUGGCUUUCCAUGUAGACUUUCAAACAGAGGAGAGAUGGUGCUGACCAGCCAACAUGGAUAUUCACAUUUCCUCAGAGACUAUAUAUAUUGGGAGCUAGUUUCUCAUGAGUUGUUUGAUAUAAUCAGUCCCCCUGAGCCCAGUCAUUUCCAUGUGAGCUAAAAAGCUUGGGUUGUGGACCUUGCAAAGCUGAGGAUGAGACCUAGAUUACGGUUCCCACAGCAAGAUGGCAGGUUUUCUUUGGGAAAUUUUAGAGUCUUCAUUCUAAAUUGAACUUCUCUAUGUGUCCUCAUCCAGAAAGGGACUCAAUACUUGAUGGGUUUGUGCCAAGCUUUUGUAUUAAAUUCAGCUACAUCACAGUAAAUUAUAAAAGUUAAUGACCUAUAAUUAUAUUUUCUAUGGUAAGGCACCUAGAAUCAAGUAAUUGCCAAAUACAAGUGAAAUAAAAGCCAGCAGUGGCUAGAAUUUUCACCCAGUUCUUCUAUAUUUCUAGGCCUUUCUAAGCUCAUAGCAGCAACUUCCCUCUCCCUUUCUCUAGUCUUCUUCCUUCGCUUCCAUCUUCUUUUCUCUCAGCUACAAUGAACUGCUCCACAACAUUAAAUGUCUUUAAACUCUUCCAUAUGAGAUUCGAUUUGGCUCUGAGGAGUUAAACCAAAGCGCAAGUUACAAAUGUCCUAAGUGUUCUUCCACAGGGAGUAUUUUAGUUGAUGUCUUCAAACAUACCACCCUCAGAAAAGCAAAUAUUUCAAAGACAGAAAUGCAACUGUUGAAUGUGGCGAUAAUUCUGCAUGCAGUAGUAAGACAAAUUUAUGAAUAAAAAUUCACAUUUCUAAUCAUAUAAACGUUUUAAAAGGUUGUUUACUUGACCAUAUAUUGAGAAACUUGCUUCAGAAUCUGAUUCCAGGUCAGGGGCUAUAGCUUGUUCAUACCACUCUGUGAGAGGACUGCUUCACUCUCACCACCAGGCUGACUAGUGCUCUGUGGUCUUGAUCAAUUGUCCCAGCAGAGUUGGUGCAUGGGAAAGCCUUUCUUGGCCUUAUCAGCAGCUCAGCCUGGGAGGUUGGCCCGGGGGCUGACCAAGCACAAAAUAGAAAAGCCACUAAUAAGAUCCAGCUGGAACAAAUAGCCUCUAUUUAUUUUAGGAAACUAAUGAUAUGUCAUCAUGACACAUAUCUAACCUUAGUAUUUCUGAUUGGACAGGCCAGUUAUGUGGGCUAUGAUUCAAGCCAUGGUUACGGCUCUGCUGCUGGAAGAAGGAUUCACCUGGUUUUGUGGUCUCGCUCUUCAGAAAUUGUAAUCAUUAUCCAUCCUAAGGACGGAGGAAUCAACGUUUCGGUAGAGAAGAAUUAGGUGCAACCUAGACAAGUGAGACAUUUCUAUGGUCUGGGUCUGAGAAAACAUGACAGGAAAGAAAGAGAAGGGCUGCAAGGCCACGGGCUCAAAGCAGAGGCUACCGAAGGACAAAUGUGUUACAAAGUGUUAUGAAAUGAAUUGACUUACUAGGAAGGCACAACAUCCAGCAUUACAAAAGGACUGCUCUGCCCUAGCCAUGUCCAGCUGAAUAACUGGCCACUACAUGACCCUCCACACCUCCAGGGUGGAGGCAGAGUUUGUAAGCUUGUGGCCUGCAGACCUAAAGUGGCCCAAAGAUGUAUUCUUUCUGAGCCCUCUCCCAAGUGAUUUGAAAAAUUAAGCCACACUAAAACAACAGGAGAUUUCACGCACACACAAAUUGAGAUUUCUAGCAUCUCUUAAAAGAUAACAAAGAAAUAAGCACUUAAAACUGAACUCAUAUUCCACAUGGCAGCACCAACUGGCCAAGAUUCAGUGGCUGCUGCUCCUUUACAGAGCAACGGCGAUGCUUCUGUGCCAGUGUGUGGCGGUGAAAGCAGGACCCUGGGGCCGGCCUGUCUAGCUGCCCUCCAACUCCACCCCUUACUAGCUGUGGGAACUUGUUAACUGUUCUGUUCCUCCGUUUACUCAUCAGUAAAAUGUGAUUCAUUGUGCUUAUCUAUUAGGUUGUUGUAAAGAUUAAAUAAAUUAACAAGUAUACUGCGCUUCAACUAGUGCCAUGUAAAUAUAGUAGUAUUACAAAAGCCUUUGAUAUUAUUACUAAUAUAGUAUUAAUAUCUUGUCUUCUAAAUUAUUUAGUUAUGUUAAUCCUCCUAAGAAUCCUGUAAGGUAGGUGAAGAAACUGAGGCAUGGAGAGGUUGGAAAACCUGCCUAAACUUGUCACAUGGUCACAUUGCACAUUACUAGUAAGCAGUGAAACCUCCUCAGGGGUCUGUGAUCUAAACCACCAUGCUAUAGAAUGACAUUCCUUUAGGUGGGACCCACACUCUCCAGUUUUCCUUAGUACUCACCAUUUCCACAGCAUAUGCAUAUAAAUGUGCACAUUCCUUUUCUAUCUUCCCAUCCACUGCCCUGUCCUCCUUUGGGUUAUCUCCCUGGCCCCUGCAUGCAUUUGAGUUUGGAACCCCUAGUCUAGAAAAGUGGAUAUGCUGAAUAGCUGACUGUGUCCUCCAGGUAGAUUACCUCUCCCAAUAAGGCUUUUAUGAAGAGCCAAAGAGAAGACAAAUUGUGCCCAGUGAGGGUCUAUUUUAGUGUGGGUAGUCUGUGAUAGCAGACAAGCAGCAU